CCUACGGGAGGCAGCAGUGAGGAAUAUUGGUCAAUGGCCGGAAGGCUGAACCAGCCAUGCCGCGUGAAGGGCAGGGCCCUAUGGGCGUUAAACUUCUUUUGUGCGGGAGCAAUAAUGGUCACGUGUGGCCAGACGAGAGUACCGUACGAAUAAGCAUCGGCUAACUCCGUGCCAGCAGCCGCGGUAAUACGGGGGAUGCAAGCGUUAUCCGGAUUUAUUGGGUUUAAAGGGUGCGUAGGCUGUGAGGUAAGUCAGCGGUGAAAUGCCCGCGCUCAACGGGGUGAAGUGCCAUUGAUACUGCCUUGCUUGAAUGCGGAUGCCGUGGGAGGAAUGUGUGGUGUAGCGGUGAAAUGCAUAGAUAUCACACAGAACACCGAUUGCGAAGGCAUCUCACGAAUCCGCGAUUGACGCUGAUGCACGAAAGCGUGGGUAUCAAACAGGAUUAGAUACCCCUGUAGUC
RNAcentral lists this ribosomal RNA (460 nucleotides) under uncultured bacterium. RNAcentral describes it as "partial 16S ribosomal RNA". It matches the Rfam family "Bacterial small subunit ribosomal RNA", at positions 338 to 795 of the family's 1533-position model. The record is from RNAcentral.